UACGUAGGGGGCAAGCGUUACCCGGAUUUACUGGGCGUAAAGCGCGUGUAGGCGGCAGGUCAAGCGUGGUGUGAAAUCUCCGGGCUCAACCCGGAAACUGCAUUGCGAACUGGCCUGCUAGAGUGCAGGAGAGGGUAGCGGAAUUCUCGGUGUAGCGGUGAAAUGCGUAGAUAUCGAGAGGAACACCAGUGGCGAAGGCGGCUACCUGGCCUGUAACUGACGCUGAGACGCGAAAGCGUGGGGAGCGAACGGG
Molecule: ribosomal RNA, 253 nt
Filed under: uncultured bacterium
Lineage: Bacteria
Description: partial 16S ribosomal RNA
Rfam family: Bacterial small subunit ribosomal RNA
Source: RNAcentral